RNAcentral lists this ribosomal RNA (433 nucleotides) under uncultured bacterium. RNAcentral describes it as "partial 16S ribosomal RNA". It matches the Rfam family "Bacterial small subunit ribosomal RNA", at positions 29 to 507 of the family's 1533-position model. The record is from RNAcentral.
AACGAACGCUGGCGGCAUGCCUAACACAUGCAAGUCGAACGAGACCUUCGGGUCUAGUGUCGCACGGGUGCGUAACGCGUGGGAACCUGCCCUUCGGUUCGGAAUAACUCCCCGAAAGGGGUGCUAAUACCGGAUAAUGUCUUCGGACCAAAGAUUUGUCGCCUUUGGAUGGGCCGGCGUUGGAUUAGCUAGUUGGUAGGGUAAAAGCCUACCAAGGCGACGAUCCAUAGCUGGUCUGAGAGGAUGAUCAGCCACACUGGGACUGAGACACGGCCCAGACUCCUACGGGAGGCAGCAGUGGGGAAUAUUGGACAAUGGGCGAAAGCCUGAUCCAGCAAUGCCGCGUGAGUGAUGAAGGCCUUAGGGUUGUAAAGCUCUUUUACCCGGGAUGAUAAUGACAGUACCGGGAGAAUAAGCUCCGGCUAACUCCGUG